GAUGAACGCUGGCGGCGUGCCUAAUACAUGCAAGUCGAGCGAACAGAUGAGGAGCUUGCUCCUCUGACGUUAGCGGCGGACGGGUGAGUAACACGUGGAUAACCUACCUAUAAGACUGGGAUAACUUCGGGAAACCGGAGCUAAUACCGGAUAAUAUAUUGAACCGCAUGGUUCAAUAGUGAAAGACGGUUUUGCUGUCACUUAUAGAUGGAUCCGCGCCGCAUUAGCUAGUUGGUAAGGUAACGGCUUACCAAGGCAACGAUGCGUAGCCGACCUGAGAGGGUGAUCGGCCACACUGGAACUGAGACACGGUCCAGACUCCUACGGGAGGCAGCAGUAGGGAAUCUUCCGCAAUGGGCGAAAGCCUGACGGAGCAACGCCGCGUGAGUGAUGAAGGUCUUCGGAUCGUAAAACUCUGUUGUUAGGGAAGAACAAAUGUGUAAGUAACUAUGCACGUCUUGACGGUACCUAAUCAGAAAGCCACGGCUAACUACGUG
This 497-nucleotide ribosomal RNA is filed under the name uncultured bacterium. RNAcentral's name for it is "partial 16S ribosomal RNA". It matches the Rfam family "Bacterial small subunit ribosomal RNA", at positions 28 to 507 of the family's 1533-position model. The record is from RNAcentral.